UACGAAGGGGGCUAGCGUUGUUCGGAUUUACUGGGCGUAAAGCGCACGUAGGCGGAUCGUUAAGUCGGGGGUGAAAUCCUGGAGCUCAACUCCAGAACUGCCUUCGAUACUGGCGAUCUUGAGUCCGGAAGAGGUGAGUGGAACUCCUAGUGUAGAGGUGGAAUUCGUAGAUAUUAGGAAGAACACCAGUGGCGAAGGCGGCUCACUGGUCCGGUACUGACGCUGAGGUGCGAAAGCGUGGGGAGCAAACAGGGAUUAAGAA
This 262-nucleotide ribosomal RNA is filed under the name uncultured bacterium. RNAcentral's name for it is "partial 16S ribosomal RNA". It matches the Rfam family "Bacterial small subunit ribosomal RNA", at positions 524 to 784 of the family's 1533-position model. The record is from RNAcentral.